This 484-nucleotide ribosomal RNA is filed under the name uncultured bacterium. RNAcentral describes it as "partial 16S ribosomal RNA". It matches the Rfam family "Bacterial small subunit ribosomal RNA", at positions 28 to 523 of the family's 1533-position model. The record is from RNAcentral.
GACGAACGCUGGCGGCGUGCUUAACACAUGCAAGUCGAACGAUGAAGCCGGAGCUUGCUCUGGUGAAUUAGUGGCGAACGGGUGAGUAACACGUGAGUAACCUGCCCUUGACUCUGGGAUAACUGCGGGAAACUGUAGCUAAUACCGGAUACGACCCUCGGAGGCAUCUCCUGGGGGUGGAAAGAAUUUCGGUCAAGGAUGGACUCGCGGCCUAUCAGCUAGUUGGUGAGGUAAAGGCUGACCAAGGCGACGACGGGUAGCCGGCCUGAGAGGGUGACCGGCCACGCUGGGACUGAGACACGGCCCAGACUCCUACGGGAGGCAGCAGUGGGGAAUAUUGCACAAUGGGCGCAAGCCUGAUGCAGCAACGCCGCGUGAGGGAUGACGGCCUUCGGGUUGUAAACCUCUUUUAGCAGGGAAGAAGCGAAAGUGACGGUACCUGCAGAAAAAGCACCGGCUAACUACGUGCCAGCCGCCGCAGUAA